GUUGUAUGGUUAAGUGACUAAGCGUACACGGUGGAUGCCUGGGCAGUCAGAGGCGAUGAAGGACGUACUAACUUGCGAUAAGCGCAGAUAAGGCAGUAAGAGCCGUUUGAGUCUGCGAUUUCCGAAUGGGGAAACCCAACUGCAUAAGCAGUUACUGUUAACUGAAUACAUAGGUUAACAGAGCAAACCGGGGGAACUGAAACAUCUAAGUACCCCGAGGAGAAGAAAUCAACCGAGAUUCCGGUAGUAGCGGCGAGCGAACCUGGAUUAGCCCUUAAGCACUCGGUGAAGUAGGUGAACAAGCUGGAAAGCUUGGCGAUACAGGGUGAUAGCCCCGUAACCGACGCUUCAUCGAGCGUGAAAUCGAGUAGGGCGGGACACGUGAUAUCCUGUCUGAAUAUGGGGGGACCAUCCUCCAAGGCUAAAUACUCCUGACUGACCGAUAGUGAACCAGUACCGUGAGGGAAAGGCGAAAAGAACCCCUGUGAGGGGAGUGAAAUAGAACCUGAAACCGUGUACGUACAAGCAGUAGGAGCACCUUCGUGGUGUGACUGCGUACCUUUUGUAUAAUGGGUCAGCGACUUAUAUUCAGUGGCAAGGUUAACCGUAUAGGGGAGCCGUAGCGAAAGCGAGUCUUAACUGGGCGCUCAGUCUCUGGAUAUAGACCCGAAACCGGGUGAUCUAGCCAUGGGCAGGUUGAAGGUUGAGUAACAUCAACUGGAGGACCGAACCGACUAAUGUUGAAAAAUUAGCGGAUGACUUGUGGCUAGGGGUGAAAGGCCAAUCAAACUCGGAGAUAGCUGGUUCUCCCCGAAAGCUAUUUAGGUAGCGCCUCGGACGAAUACUACUGGGGGUAGAGCACUGUUAAGGCUAGGGGGUCAUCCCGACUUACCAACCCUUUGCAAACUCCGAAUACCAGUAAGUACUAUCCGGGAGACACACGGCGGGUGCUAACGUCCGUCGUGGAGAGGGAAACAACCCAGACCGCCAGCUAAGGUCCCAAAGUAUUGCUAAGUGGGAAACGAUGUGGGAAGGCUCAGACAGCUAGGAUGUUGGCUUAGAAGCAGCCAUCAUUUAAAGAAAGCGUAAUAGCUCACUAGUCGAGUCGGCCUGCGCGGAAGAUGUAACGGGGCUAAGCAAUACACCGAAGCUGCGGCAAUAUCUUUUAGAUAUUGGGUAGGGGAGCGUUCUGUAAGCCGUUGAAGGUGAAUCGUAAGGUUUGCUGGAGGUAUCAGAAGUGCGAAUGCUGACAUGAGUAACGACAAAGGGGGUGAAAAACCUCCUCGCCGGAAGACCAAGGGUUCCUGUCCAACGUUAAUCGGGGCAGGGUGAGUCGACCCCUAAGGUGAGGCCGAAAGGCGUAAUCGAUGGGAAACGGGUUAAUAUUCCCGUACUUCUGACUAUUGCGAUGGGGGGACGGAGAAGGCUAGGUGGGCCAGGCGACGGUUGUCCUGGUUCAAGUGCGUAGGCUUGAGAGUUAGGUAAAUCCGGCUCUCUCUAAGGCUGAGACACGACGUCGAGCUGCUACGGCAGUGAAGUCAUUGAUGCCAUGCUUCCAGGAAAAGCCUCUAAGCUUCAGAUAGUCAGGAAUCGUACCCCAAACCGACACAGGUGGUCGGGUAGAGAAUACCAAGGCGCUUGAGAGAACUCGGGUGAAGGAACUAGGCAAAAUGGUACCGUAACUUCGGGAGAAGGUACGCUCUUGAUGGUGAAGUCCCUCGCGGAUGGAGCUGACGAGAGUCGCAGAUACCAGGUGGCUGCAACUGUUUAUUAAAAACACAGCACUGUGCAAAAUCGCAAGAUGACGUAUACGGUGUGACGCCUGCCCGGUGCCGGAAGGUUAAUUGAUGGGGUUAGCGCAAGCGAAGCUCUUGAUCGAAGCCCCGGUAAACGGCGGCCGUAACUAUAACGGUCCUAAGGUAGCGAAAUUCCUUGUCGGGUAAGUUCCGACCUGCACGAAUGGCGUAAUGAUGGCCACGCUGUCUCCACCCGAGACUCAGUGAAAUUGAAAUCGCUGUGAAGAUGCAGUGUACCCGCGGCUAGACGGAAAGACCCCGUGAACCUUUACUACAGCUUGGCACUGAACAUUGAACCUACAUGUGUAGGAUAGGUGGGAGGCUAUGAAGACGUGACGCCAGUUGCGUUGGAGCCGUCCUUGAAAUACCACCCUUGUAUGU
RNAcentral lists this ribosomal RNA (2177 nucleotides) under Vibrio cholerae. Its description in RNAcentral is "partial 23S ribosomal RNA". It matches the Rfam family "Bacterial large subunit ribosomal RNA", at positions 1 to 2213 of the family's 2925-position model. The record is from RNAcentral. Lineage: Bacteria; Pseudomonadati; Pseudomonadota; Gammaproteobacteria; Vibrionales; Vibrionaceae.